Molecule: long non-coding RNA, 1905 nt
Filed under: Homo sapiens (human)
Lineage: Eukaryota; Metazoa; Chordata; Mammalia; Primates; Hominidae
Description: non-protein coding lnc-SLC22A2-1:1
Source: RNAcentral
CCUAGUAAGGCCCACCUUCAGGCCAAGAAGGGCCUGAAGGCUGGGGCCUGGGCUGCCAGUCCCGGAAACCAGAGUGGGGACUUGUGGUGCCUCUUCCUAACCCACCCAUGGCCACCCACAGAACAACUGGCAUGCACUUCCUCCCUUCUGAGGUCCAUAAAAGCCCUGGACUCAGCCAGAGCAGGGCAGAGGAUAGCUAGAGGAUGAAGAGGGCAGAGAGAUGAUGGGACAACCAGCUGCAGAAAGGAGUACCCUCUCUGCCGAUAGCUGGAGAUGAUGGGACAACCCACAGAGAGGAGCCACAUUCUCUGCUGAUAGCUGCAGCGACAACCUGCUGGCAGAGAGGAACCACCCUCUCCAGGGCUUCCUCUCUGCUGAGAGCUGCAAACAUCAGGAUGACCAGUUGCAGAGAGGAGCUACCUCUCCUGGGCCUCCUCUCUACUGAGAACUGAACACUCGACAGAUGACCUGCCUAGAAGAGGAGCUACCCAAUGCAGGUGUCCUCUGAGCUGUUGUAACACUCAAUAGAGCUCAUCUUCGUCUUGCUCACCCUUCACUUGUCUAUGUCCCUUAUUCUUCCUGGACGCAGGACAAGAGCUCAUGCAAAGGCACCGUGACCACAGAGGUUUCCAGCCAGAAAAUUGACACCUCAAAGGUCCUGUAACAAAGAGACAGUCACCAAAGCUGGGACAGCAGCAGGCAUGGGGCACCACAGGACCCCAAAACCAGUCCUACCAUCCAAAAAGUGCCUUACAAGGUGGAGGGAAGAGCAGGAGACAAGAAAGAAGACCAGAGGGUGUAGCAGACUGGCUGUCCAGUGGCCCACAUAUCCUCACCUCUCAGCUGAGUGUGCAGAACCUGUGACUUGCCUGUAACCAAUGGAAAUGGCAAGUGUCACGGAUGACACCUCCAUGAUCAUGCUCCUUAAGAUUGUAACAUCCACAUGGCUGAGAGUCUCUCUCCCCUGCUGGCUGUGAUGGAGCCCUGGCCCUGUGGUGGAGGCCCACAUGGCAAGGAGCUGUGGGUACCUUCAGCUGGCAACCAGCGGGAAACCAAGACCCUUGGUCCUGAAGUGGGACAGAAUGAAUCCUGCCGAUAUCCACUUGAGCUCCAAAUCAAAUCUUUCUCCAGAUGAGCCUUGAGACGAGGCCACCACUGCAGCUAACACCUUGAAUGUAACAUCCAGCUGCCCUGCAGCUACCCUCCUGACCACAGAGCCCAGGAGACAUGGAGUGUGCAUGCUUUACGCAGCUCAGUUUGUGGUGACAUGGUGUCACGGCAACAGACAAGAAAGCUUCAGGCUCCUGGGAAUCCCAGAGCAGCUGCAGGGCUCCUCCCUGCCCCACACUGAGCAGCCCAGCACUCUCCAGCAGGCCCAUUGCCUGCACCUUGUCAAUGACCCAGAUGGCUGUGCUCUCCAGAACCUACCCGAGCUCCUACAGGCCCCCAGGGUUGGCUGUUUCCUGCUUUGUGCCUGUCAGAAGGGGAACGCUGUGCUCCUAGGAACCUGGAACAGAUUCUCCCUCACAGUCUCAGAAGGAAUCAACCCUGCCAACACCUUGAUGUUGGACUCCCAGCCUCCAGAACUGGAAGACAUACAUUUCUGUUGUUGAAGCCCCUAGUCUGUGGUACUUUAUUAUGGCAGCCCUCCCAAACAAAUCCAGAGAUGAGGCCCAGGACCUGCGGGCAGAGCUAACACAGGGAGGCUGACUUCCGGCCAUGAGGAGCCCCAGGCCAGGCCUGUCAUCCAGGCGGCCCCCACCACAUCCACUCACCACCCUGCAUGCCCUUGUGGCCCAUUAUGCUAACUGUUCCUGGGAACUACUGAAAAUUUGAUGCAGAAAAUCCACUCAUUUUCCUAACUGUUCAAAAACAUGGUCCUGAAUGUCUAUUUUAGCCCAGGUA